GAUGAACGCUGGCGGCGUGCCUGAUACAUGCAAGUCGAGCGAAUGGAUUAAGAGCUUGCUCUUAUGAAGUUAGCGGCGGACGGGUGAGUAGCACGUGGGUAACCUGCCCAUAAGACUGGGAUAACUCCGGGAAACCGGGGCUAAUACCGGAUAACAUUUUGAACCGCAUGGUUCGAAAUUGAAAGGCGGCUUCGGCUGUCACUUAUGGAUGGACCCGCGUCGCAUUAGCUAGUUGGUGAGGUAACGGCUCACCAAGGCAACGAUGCGUAGCCGACCUGAGAGGGUGAUCGGCCACACUGGGACUGAGACACGGCCCAGACUCCUACGGGAGGCAGCAGUAGGGAAUCUUCCGCAAUGGACGAAAGUCUGACGGAGCAACGCCGCGUGAGUGAUGAAGGCUUUCGGGUCGUAAAACUCUGUUGUUAGGGAAGAACAAGUGCUAGUUGAAUAAGCUGGCACCUUGACGGUACCUAACCAGAAAGCCACGGCUAACUACGUGCCAGCAGCCGCGGUAA
Molecule: ribosomal RNA, 515 nt
Filed under: uncultured bacterium
Lineage: Bacteria
Description: partial 16S ribosomal RNA
Rfam family: Bacterial small subunit ribosomal RNA
Source: RNAcentral